GGGCCUUUUCGGCCUGCUAACACAUGCAAGUCGACGGAAGGCCUUUUCGGAGGUACUCGAGUGGCGAACGGGUGAGUAACACGUGGGUGAUCUGCCCUGCACUCUGGGAUAAGCCUGGGAAACUGGGUCUAAUACCGGAUAGGACUGCACUUUAGUGUGUGUGGUGGAAAGUUUUUUCGGUGUAGGAUGAGCCCGCGGCCUAUCAGCUUGUUGGUGGGGUAAUGGCCUACCAAGGCGGCGACGGGUAGCCGGACUGAGAGGUUGGUCGGCCACAUUGGGACUGAGAUACGGCCCAGACUCCUACGGGAGGCAGCAGUGGGGAAUAUUGCACAAUGGGCGCAAGCCUGAUGCAGCGACGCCGCGUGGGGGAUGACGGCCUUCGGGUUGUAAACUCCUUUCGCCAGGGACGAAGCGUUUUGUGACGGUACCUGGAGAAGAAGCACCGGCUAACUACGUGCCAGCAGCCGCGGUAAUACGUAGGGUGCAAGCGUUGUCCGGAAUUACUGGGCGUAAAGAGCUCGUAGGUGGUUUGUCACGUCGUCUGUGAAAUUCCACAGCUUAACUGUGGGCGUGCAGGCGAUACGGGCUGACUUGAGUACUGUAGGGGUAACUGGAAUUCCUGGUGUAGCGGUGAAAUGCGCAGAUAUCAGGAGGAACACCGAUGGCGAAGGCAGGUUACUGGGCAGUUACUGACGCUGAGGAGCGAAAGCAUGGGUAGCAAACAGGAUUAGAUACCCUGGUAGUCCAUGCCGUAAACGGUGGGCGCUAGGUGUAGGGGCCUUUUGGGGUUUCUGUGCCGUAGCUAACGCAUUAAGCGCCCCGCCUGGGGAGUACGGCCGCAAGGCUAAAACUCAAAGGAAUUGACGGGGGCCCGCACAAGCGGCGGAGCAUGUGGAUUAAUUCGAUGCAACGCGAAGAACCUUACCUGGGCUUGACAUACACCGGAUCGCUGCAGAGAUGUAGUUUCCCUUGUGGGCUGGUGUACAGGUGGGUGCAUGGCUGUCGUCAGCUCGUGUCGAGAGAUGUUGCGUUAAAUCCCGCACGGAUCGCAACCCUUGUCUUAUC
This 1065-nucleotide ribosomal RNA is filed under the name Corynebacterium propinquum. RNAcentral's name for it is "bacterial SSU rRNA". It matches the Rfam family "Bacterial small subunit ribosomal RNA", at positions 31 to 1114 of the family's 1533-position model. The record is from RNAcentral. Lineage: Bacteria; Bacillati; Actinomycetota; Actinomycetes; Mycobacteriales; Corynebacteriaceae.